This 273-nucleotide long non-coding RNA is filed under the name Panax ginseng (ginseng). Its description in RNAcentral is "long non-coding RNA (PGIN_LNC014540)". Lineage: Eukaryota; Viridiplantae; Streptophyta; Magnoliopsida; Apiales; Araliaceae. The record is from RNAcentral.
GAGCACCAAUUAUUAUCUUUAUCCGUGUGUCAAUGUAUACCCACCAGGAGGAGGUUCACGAAGCACAUGCUUGUCUUCUUCAGGAUAUUUGAUUUAGAUAUUAAUUUGGUAGUCAAUAAAAAGGGUAUUACCUUCUUCCAUGUCCCUUGAUUAGUAAGAAAAUAACACAACAUUAUUGUCUUUGUGUAUUGAUUUUGGCACUAAGUGCCUCUGGUGACCUAUUUGCUUCAUUUUUCUGACUUGCUAUUAUUUUUAAAUAUGUACAGGAAGACU